ACUCCUGCGGGAGGCAGCAGUGGGGAAUUUUGGACAAUGGGGGCAACCCUGAUCCAGCAAUGCCGCGUGAGUGAAGAAGGCCUUCGGGUUGUAAAGCUCUUUUGUCAGGGAAGAAACGGUGGUGGCGAAUAACUACUACUAAUGACGGUACCUGAAGAAUAAGCACCGGCUAACUACGUGCCAGCAGCCGCGGUAAUACGUAGGGUGCAAGCGUUAAUCGGAAUUACUGGGCGUAAAGCGUGCGCAGGCGGUUGUGUAAGUCAGAUGUGAAAUCCCCGGGCUCAACCUGGGAAUUGCAUUUGAGACUGCACGGCUAGAGUGUGUCAGAGGGGGGUAGAAUUCCACGUGUAGCAGUGAAAUGCGUAGAUAUGUGGAGGAAUACCGAUGGCGAAGGCAGCCCCCUGGGAUAACACUGACGCUCAUGCACGAAAGCGUGGGGAGCAAACAGGAUUAGAAACCCGGGUAGUCCCAUGAU
This 475-nucleotide ribosomal RNA is filed under the name uncultured organism. RNAcentral describes it as "partial 16S ribosomal RNA". It matches the Rfam family "Bacterial small subunit ribosomal RNA", at positions 335 to 801 of the family's 1533-position model. The record is from RNAcentral.